GUCUAGCCCUGAUUGAAACGGCAUCCUUUUUUUAUUUUUCUUAAAAAAAGAUAUAGUGAAAAGCAGGAAAUAGC
This 74-nucleotide small RNA is filed under the name Polaribacter sp. SA4-12. Its description in RNAcentral is "Flavo-1 RNA". It matches the Rfam family "Flavo-1 RNA". The record is from Rfam by way of RNAcentral. Lineage: Bacteria; Pseudomonadati; Bacteroidota; Flavobacteriia; Flavobacteriales; Flavobacteriaceae.